UUAAGCGACUAAGCGUACACGGUGGAUGCCCUGGCAGUCAGAGGCGAUGAAGGACGUGCUAAUCUGCGAUAAGCGUCGGUGAGGUGAUAUGAACCGUUAUAACCGGCGAUUUCCGAAUGGGGAAACCCAGUGUGUUUCGACACACUAUCAUUAACUGAAUCCAUAGGUUAAUGAGGCGAACCGGGGGAACUGAAACAUCUAAGUACCCCGAGGAAAAGAAAUCAACCGAGAUUCCCCCAGUAGCGGCGAGCGAACGGGGAGGAGCCCAGAGCCUGAAUCAGUGUGUGUGUUAGUGGAAGCGUCUGGAAAGGCGCGCGAUACAGGGUGACAGCCCCGUACACAAAAAUGCACAUAUUGUGAGCUCGAUGAGUAGGGCGGGACACGUGGUAUCCUGUCUGAAUAUGGGGGGACCAUCCUCCAAGGCUAAAUACUCCUGACUGACCGAUAGUGAACCAGUACCGUGAGGGAAAGGCGAAAAGAACCCCGGCGAGGGGAGUGAAAAAGAACCUGAAACCGUGUACGUACAAGCAGUGGGAGCCUCUUAAUGGGGUGACUGCGUACCUUUUGUAUAAUGGGUCAGCGACUUAUAUUCUGUAGCAAGGUUAACCGAAUAGGGGAGCCGAAGGGAAACCGAGUCUUAACUGGGCGUUAAGUUGCAGGGUAUAGACCCGAAACCCGGUGAUCUAGCCAUGGGCAGGUUGAAGGUUGGGUAACACUAACUGGAGGACCGAACCGACUAAUGUUGAAAAAUUAGCGGAUGACUUGUGGCUGGGGGUGAAAGGCCAAUCAAACCGGGAGAUAGCUGGUUCUCCCCGAAAGCUAUUUAGGUAGCGCCUCGUGAAUUCAUCUCCGGGGGUAGAGCACUGUUUCGGCAAGGGGGUCAUCCCGACUUACCAACCCGAUGCAAACUGCGAAUACCGGAGAAUGUUAUCACGGGAGACACACGGCGGGUGCUAACGUCCGUCGUGAAGAGGGAAACAACCCAGACCGCCAGCUAAGGUCCCAAAGUCAUGGUUAAGUGGGAAACGAUGUGGGAAGGCCCAGACAGCCAGGAUGUUGGCUUAGAAGCAGCCAUCAUUUAAAGAAAGCGUAAUAGCUCACUGGUCGAGUCGGCCUGCGCGGAAGAUGUAACGGGGCUAAACCAUGCACCGAAGCUGCGGCAGCGACGCUUAUGCGUUGUUGGGUAGGGGAGCGUUCUGUAAGCCUGUGAAGGUGUGCUGUGAGGCAUGCUGGAGGUAUCAGAAGUGCGAAUGCUGACAUAAGUAACGAUAAAGCGGGUGAAAAGCCCGCUCGCCGGAAGACCAAGGGUUCCUGUCCAACGUUAAUCGGGGCAGGGUGAGUCGACCCCUAAGGCGAGGCCGAAAGGCGUAGUCGAUGGGAAACAGGUUAAUAUUCCUGUACUUGGUGUUACUGCGAAGAGGGGACGGAGAAGGCUAUGUUGGCCGGGCGACGGUUGUCCCGGUUUAAGCGUGUAGGCUGAUUUUCCAGGCAAAUCCGGAAAAUCAAGGCUGAGGCGUGAUGACGAGGCACUACGGUGCUGAAGCAACAAAUGCCCUGCUUCCAGGAAAAGCCUCUAAGCAUCAGGUAACAUCAAAUCGUACCCCAAACCGACACAGGUGGUCAGGUAGAGAAUACCAAGGCGCUUGAGAGAACUCGGGUGAAGGAACUAGGCAAAAUGGUGCCGUAACUUCGGGAGAAGGCACGCUGAUAUGUAGGUGAAGUCCCUCGCGGAUGGAGCUGAAAUCAGUCGAAGAUACCAGCUGGCUGCAACUGUUUAUUAAAAACACAGCACUGUGCAAACACGAAAGUGGACGUAUACGGUGUGACGCCUGCCCGGUGCCGGAAGGUUAAUUGAUGGGGUUAGCGGCAACGCGAAGCUCUUGAUCGAAGCCCCGGUAAACGGCGGCCGUAACUAUAACGGUCCUAAGGUAGCGAAAUUCCUUGUCGGGUAAGUUCCGACCUGCACGAAUGGCGUAAUGAUGGCCAGGCUGUCUCCACCCGAGACUCAGUGAAAUUGAACUCGCUGUGAAGAUGCAGUGUACCCGCGGCAAGACGGAAAGACCCCGUGAACCUUUACUAUAGCUUGACACUGAACAUUGAGCCUUGAUGUGUAGGAUAGGUGGGAGGCUUUGAAGUGUGGACGCCAGUCUGCAUGGAGCCGACCUUGAAAUACCACCCUUUAAUGUUUGAUGUUCUAACGUGGGCCCCUAAUCGGGGUUGCGGACAGUGUCUGGUGGGUAGUUUGACUGGGGCGGUCUCCUCCUAAAGAGUAACGGAGGAGCACGAAGGUUGGCUAAUCCUGGUCGGACAUCAGGAGGUUAGUGCAAUGGCAUAAGCCAGCUUGACUGCGAGCGUGACGGCGCGAGCAGGUGCGAAAGCAGGUCAUAGUGAUCCGGUGGUUCUGAAUGGAAGGGCCAUCGCUCAACGGAUAAAAGGUACUCCGGGGAUAACAGGCUGAUACCGCCCAAGAGUUCAUAUCGACGGCGGUGUUUGGCACCUCGAUGUCGGCUCAUCACAUCCUGGGGCUGAAGUAGGUCCCAAGGGUAUGGCUGUUCGCCAUUUAAAGUGGUACGCGAGCUGGGUUUAGAACGUCGUGAGACAGUUCGGUCCCUAUCUGCCGUGGGCGCUGGAGAACUGAGGGGGGCUGCUCCUAGUACGAGAGGACCGGAGUGGACGCAUCACUGGUGUUCGGGUUGUCAUGCCAAUGGCACUGCCCGGUAGCUAAAUGCGGAAGAGAUAAGUGCUGAAAGCAUCUAAGCACGAAACUUGUCCCGAGAUGAGUUCUCCCUGACUCCUUGAGAGUCCUGAAGGAACGUUGAAGACGACGACGUUGAUAGGCCGGGUGUGUAAGCGCAGCGAUGCGUUGAGCUAACCGGUACUAAUGAACCGUGAGGCUUAACCUU
Molecule: ribosomal RNA, 2903 nt
Filed under: Escherichia coli HVH 4 (4-7276109)
Lineage: Bacteria; Pseudomonadati; Pseudomonadota; Gammaproteobacteria; Enterobacterales; Enterobacteriaceae
Description: bacterial LSU rRNA
Rfam family: Bacterial large subunit ribosomal RNA
Source: RNAcentral